RNAcentral lists this ribosomal RNA (560 nucleotides) under Enterobacter sp. Its description in RNAcentral is "bacterial SSU rRNA". It matches the Rfam family "Bacterial small subunit ribosomal RNA", at positions 867 to 1424 of the family's 1533-position model. The record is from RNAcentral. Lineage: Bacteria; Pseudomonadati; Pseudomonadota; Gammaproteobacteria; Enterobacterales; Enterobacteriaceae.
CGUUUCCUAGGGGGUUCCCCCGCUGAAGUUUAAAAACUUAAAAUUGACUGGGGACGCCCGCACACGGGGUGGCGCAUGUGGUUAAUUUCGAUGAAACGUGAAACCCCUUACUUACUCUUGACAUCCAGAGAACUUUCCAGAGAUGUUUUGGUGCCUUGGGGAACUAUGAGACAGGUGUUGCAUGGCUGUCCUCAGCUCGUGUUGUGAAAUGUUGGGUUAACUCCCGCAACGAGCGCAACCCUUAUCCUUUGUUGCCAGCGGUUAGGCCGGGAACUCAAAGGAGACUGCCAGUGAUAAACUGGAGGAAGGUGGGGAUGACGUCAAGUCAUCAUGGCCCUUACGAGUAGGGCUACACACGUGCUACAAUGGCGCAUACAAAGAGAAGCGACCUCGCGAGAGCAAGCGGACCUCAUAAAGUGCGUCGUAGUCCGGAUUGGAGUCUGCAACUCGACUCCAUGAAGUCGGAAUCGCUAGUAAUCGUGGAUCAGAAUGCCACGGUGAAUACGUUCCCGGGCCUUGUACACACCGCCCGUCACACCAUGGGAGUGGGUUUGCCGAAA